AAUAGAUACCCGGGUAGUCCACGUCGUAAACGAUGGAUACUAGCUGUUCGGAGCAAUCUGAGUGGCUAAGCGAAAGUGAUAAGUAUCCCACCUGGGGAGUACGUUCGCAAGAAUGAAACUCAAAGGAAUUGACGGGGGCCCGCACAAGCGGUGGAGCAUGUGGUUUAAUUCGAUGAUACGCGAGGAACCUUACCAAGGCUUAAAUGUAGAUUGACCGGACUGGAAACAGUUUUUUCGCAAGACAAUUUACAAGGUGCUGCAUGGUUGUCGUCAGCUCGUGCCGUGAGGUGUCAGGUUAAGUCCUAUAACGAGCGCAACCCCUGUCGUUAGUUGCCAGCGAGUCAUGUCGGGAACUCUAACGAGACUGCCAGUGUAAACUGUGAGGAAGGUGGGGAUGACGUCAAAUCAUCACGGCCCUUACGCCUUGGGCUACACACGUGCUACAAUGGCCGGUACAGAGAGCAGCCACUGGGCGACCAGGAGCGAAUCUACAAAACCGGUCACAGUUCGGAUCGGAGUCUGCAACUCGAC
This 531-nucleotide ribosomal RNA is filed under the name uncultured bacterium. RNAcentral's name for it is "bacterial SSU rRNA". It matches the Rfam family "Bacterial small subunit ribosomal RNA", at positions 777 to 1316 of the family's 1533-position model. The record is from RNAcentral.